This 497-nucleotide ribosomal RNA is filed under the name uncultured bacterium. RNAcentral describes it as "partial 16S ribosomal RNA". It matches the Rfam family "Bacterial small subunit ribosomal RNA", at positions 28 to 507 of the family's 1533-position model. The record is from RNAcentral.
GACGAACGCUGGCGGCGUGCCUAAUACAUGCAAGUCGAACGCUGAAGCUUGGUGCUUGCACCGAGCGGAUGAGUUGCGAACGGGUGAGUAACGCGUAGGUAACCUGCCUGGUAGCGGGGGAUAACUAUUGGAAACGAUAGCUAAUACCGCAUAACAGUAGAUAUCGCAUGAUAGCUACUUGAAAGGUGCAAAUGCACCACUACCAGAUGGACCUGCGUUGUAUUAGCUAGUUGGUGAGGUAACGGCUCACCAAGGCAACGAUACAUAGCCGACCUGAGAGGGUGAUCGGCCACACUGGGACUGAGACACGGCCCAGACUCCUACGGGAGGCAGCAGUAGGGAAUCUUCGGCAAUGGACGGAAGUCUGACCGAGCAACGCCGCGUGAGUGAAGAAGGUUUUCGGAUCGUAAAGCUCUGUUGUAAGAGAAGAACGAGUGUGAGAGUGGAAAGUUCACACUGUGACGGUAUCUUACCAGAAAGGGACGGCUAACUACGUG